RNAcentral lists this long non-coding RNA (856 nucleotides) under Hordeum vulgare. RNAcentral describes it as "long non-coding RNA (HVUL_LNC000288)". Lineage: Eukaryota; Viridiplantae; Streptophyta; Magnoliopsida; Poales; Poaceae. The record is from RNAcentral.
CUCUAAGAAUUCUCUGCAGCUGUUUUUACUCAGCCCAUGGUAAACUUGAAGCACCACUCUUGUGUUCUUUUAAGGAAGCACCAUUAUUUUGUUGACAGAUCAGUGAUCACCAUUCUCUCCCAUUUGAAUGUUCAGUGUAGCAUGCUUAUUGCUGGUCGAUACAGUCUUGGAAUACCAUAAGCAUCAGUACUUCAUUGCACAACUUGUAUCAGUUAUCACAUUGUUUCAGUUUGAUCAGUAGAUGAUGGCUUGGAUGUGUUUUAAAGGUUAUUUUUUCCUUGAUGAUCUUUCACCUGGGAUAUGUUCUUGUGUGUUGUGUGGUGUUCUUUUCCCUUCCUAAAUAAGUCGGAGGACUUCACCAGGUCAAUGUCAGUCAAUGGUGAUACUUGUUCCGUGCAUUCUAAAACUAAAUUCAGUACAAUGUUCAUCAGGUGAUGUGUUAGACAUGCUGAAUUAUCCAUUAAGCUAUAUAUAUAUAAGAUGAAAAACAUUAUGAGCUCACAUCACUUAUGGUCCAGCUUCACCGGACACUUUUAACUGGCGUGGUUUCUUGUCUUACAUCACUACACAUUAUUUACUAUAAAAUGCUAGUUGAUUACGACAAGUUUUCUUUAAGAUGAAACAUUAGGUGAUUAACCUACUUGACAUUUUAAUUAUUUAAAAACAGUUUGCAUGAAACAUACAUGCAGACAGUUUCAAGCAAAUAUGUAGAUUUAGAAGAACUGGGCGACCCAUUUGUACCCAUUCUACAAAGCCACCAUAAGGAGCUCCUCUGAACGCGAUGAAGGACCUGCUCCAACUCAUCCUUCAACAAAUCCCAGCAUCUGGAGAGGCUAGGGUUCUUGCUGUUGAAGAU